GGAGUUAGCCGGUGCUUCUUCUGUGAGUGAUGUCCUUCCUGCCGGCUAUUAACCCGCAGGCCUUCUUCCUCACUGAAAGUGCUUUACAACCCGAAGGCCUUCUUCACACACGCGGCAUUGCUGGAUCAGGGUUGCCCCCAUUGUCCAAUAUUCCCCACUGCUGCCUCCCGUAGGAGUCUGGGCCGUGUCUCAGUCCCAGUGUGGCUGAUCAUCCUCUCAGACCAGCUACGGAUCGUCGCCUUGGUGAGCCGUUACCUCACCAACCAGCUAAUCCGACAUAGGCUCAUCCGAUAGCGCGAGGCCCGAAGGUCCCCCGNUUUCCCCCGUAGGGCGUAUGCGGUAUUAGCCUGGGUUUCCCCCAGGUUAUCCCCCGACUACCGGGCAGAUUCCUAUGCAUUACUCACCCGUCCGCCGCUCGCCACCAGGGAGCAAGCUCCCCGUGCUGCCGCUCGACUUGCAUGUGUUAGGCCUGCCGCCAGCGUUCAAUCUGAGCCAGAAUCAAACUCUGA
This 509-nucleotide ribosomal RNA is filed under the name uncultured bacterium. Its description in RNAcentral is "partial 16S ribosomal RNA". The record is from RNAcentral.